RNAcentral lists this ribosomal RNA (477 nucleotides) under uncultured bacterium. RNAcentral's name for it is "partial 16S ribosomal RNA". It matches the Rfam family "Bacterial small subunit ribosomal RNA", at positions 355 to 824 of the family's 1533-position model. The record is from RNAcentral.
UGGGGAAUUUUGGACAAUGGGCGAAAGCCUGAUCCAGCAAUGCCGCGUGUGUGAAGAAGGCCUUCGGGUUGUAAAGCACUUUUGUCCGGAAAGAAAUCCUUGGCUCUAAUACAGUCGGGGGAUGACGGUACCGGAAGAAUAAGCACCGGCUAACUACGUGCCAGCAGCCGCGGUAAUACGUAGGGUGCAAGCGUUAAUCGGAAUUACUGGGCGUAAAGCGUGCGCAGGCGGUUUGCUAAGACCGAUGUGAAAUCCCCGGGCUCAACCUGGGAACUGCAUUGGUGGCUGGCAGGCUAGAGUAUGGCAGAGGGGGGUAGAAUUCCACGUGUAGCAGUGAAAUGCGUAGAGAUGUGGAGGAAUACCGAUGGCGAAGGCAGCCCCCUGGGCCAAUACUGACGCUCAUGCACGAAAGCGUGGGGAGCAAACAGGAUUAGAUACCCUGGUAGUCCACGCCCUAAACGAUGUCAACUAGUUGUU